RNAcentral lists this transfer RNA (68 nucleotides) under Tetraclitella divisa. RNAcentral's name for it is "tRNA-Gln". Lineage: Eukaryota; Metazoa; Arthropoda; Thecostraca; Balanomorpha; Tetraclitidae. The record is from RNAcentral.
UAAUAAUUAGUUUACAGGAACAUCGUAAUUUGACUACGUAGGAAACAGUGCAACUCUGUUGUUAUUAA